Molecule: long non-coding RNA, 629 nt
Filed under: Homo sapiens (human)
Lineage: Eukaryota; Metazoa; Chordata; Mammalia; Primates; Hominidae
Description: HSALNT0349427
Source: RNAcentral
UUCAUUGAUGUGAAAAUGUAUAUACAUGCAGAAAAUGGCUUGAAGGAAUGAUAGAGUUUAUUCUAUUUUAUUAGAAUGAUGAGAAAUAUUUUUUAAUAGUCCAGAUCUUCUGUGAUAUUAUUUUCAUAUAAAAAAUUAGUUCCCAGUUUUUCUUCAAGGGGGAUACUGUUUCCCUUUCUGAGAAGAUAAUCAAUGACCCUCCAAGACUUGAGAGGAGUGACCUGAGUUUAGGAGAUAGUAGAACCCACCUAGAUCAUGGUCGUGCCAGCAAAUCCGUGUGAAUGCCACUGGAUUAAAAGAAGGAAGUUUAGUUGAAUGGUUACUACCCUCAUUCACAGGAGCAGUUAUCGGCACUUCCACUGAGGCAAUGGCAGUGGGAAAAGGAAGGCAAAUAUUUAUUCACCCAUCCAUAAACUCAUAAAAAUUGCCAACUUUACAGAGAAACUGUUUUUUCCGUUUUUGAAGAAAGCCUAGCUUGUCUACCUGGGAGCUCUUAUUCAAGCCUUCACUUAAGCUCUUGAAUCCUCCAACGAAGUGCUGCUCAAACCUUCUUGUCCCGAAUUACACUGUGUUCUUGGAUACACUUGCAUCCCACAUACAUUUAUUGUGUUCUAAAUGUUUCUGGGGUU